CACGGUAUUGCGUAGGUGGCUGUGUCUCAAUAUAGUCGAUUUAUUCAAGGGGAAGGGCGAUUUAUGUCUUGUGAUUUAGGAAUUUCAACGAAGUUGUGUUGCUACGUCGCUGAUAGAACGCUCGAUCGAGUUUCUGGACUUUUUCCACGGUUUGAAUAUUGUGCAUCUACAUUCACAUCAACGCUGUUCCAAUGGAAAUAAUUGGUUGAUAAUGCGGCGUAGAUGCGGCGCAUGUAAUUGGAUAUUAAAUUGAUAACGUCACUGUCUUUCUCCGGAGCGAUUCUCUUACGCCCUCCAGGGACCGAAAGUUGGAUACGGUUUCCCGGACGACAUAAUGCAAUUUCGUCCGCAGCUUUCUCGCAGAUACAUAUCGCAGAUACAUCCGGGACACCGUGCGUCGCGACACGACGACAACGGUUUCGUACUCGCAUAAUAAGUACGAUGAAAGUAGACUGGAGAGUGGAUUAAUUGCGUCAUCCGGACGGGAAUAUCAAAAUUACAGUUUGCAAAAUCUUAGAUGGUAGAUAGGUAGGAAUGAAGGACAACGUUGCGUCAUCUCUCGUGGUAAGAUGAAGGAAAUCUCGAGUGCGACCUUUACGGAAUUAAUUAAUCAACGCUUCGCGCUAAAUGUCGCUGUCCUUUACAGGACGACGACAGUUUGUUCGGUCAGUGCUCCGCAAAGUUAAUUGGCUUCUAUCGUGACGUAAAUAGCCAUUUGCCGUUAUCAUUAAAUCGCGAAUUUAUCAUGGGCACUAUCAUGUUACUCGCCUCGUACGACUCGCAAAUGGGCCGCUAGUUUUAUUGUCGCGCCAGAAACCUUCAUACCCGCCCGAGAUUUUGAUGAAACUCCACGGGAGGGUAAUUCAAUUUUAGACGGUCACGAAUUAGAGGAAUUUUUAAACACCUCCUUAAAUAGGCUGAAGCGUGUGGUUACCGCAUUUUUAAAUACCUCCAUAAACAUACAGAAAUGUGUGUGGUUACCUUACCGCGAUACAUUUAAUUCUCAACUCGUAAAAUAUAAUGUUGGUUUAAUAAAUUAGUCAUAAUUUACAUCUCCUGAAUAUAUUA
Long non-coding RNA from Formica exsecta, 1068 nucleotides. RefSeq lists it as uncharacterized. The transcript has 4 exons. The record is from RefSeq and is a predicted model, not a curated record. NCBI's taxonomy places the organism in Eukaryota, Metazoa, Arthropoda, Insecta, Hymenoptera, Formicidae.